This is a non-coding RNA of Phrynosoma platyrhinos (Desert horned lizard), 71 nucleotides long. The record is from the annotation of a GenBank genome assembly. Lineage: Eukaryota; Metazoa; Chordata; Lepidosauria; Squamata; Phrynosomatidae.
GCCAGCGUGACGUAGUGGUUUGAGAGUUGGACUAUGACUCUGUGGACCAGGGUUCAAUUCCUAGCUUGGCC